RNAcentral lists this long non-coding RNA (935 nucleotides) under Mytilus galloprovincialis (Mediterranean mussel). The record is from RNAcentral. Lineage: Eukaryota; Metazoa; Mollusca; Bivalvia; Mytilida; Mytilidae.
GUGUACUUUUGUUUGUCUUUUUUAUUUUUAGCCAUGGCGUUGUCAGCUUAUUUUCGAUUUAUGAGUUUGACUGUCCCUCUGGUAUCUUUUGUCCCUGUUUUCAAUAUCGUUAGUAUUAAGAACCUAUACUUGUUUUUCUCUACAAAAAUGAUUGCCAAAAAUAAACACUUCAGCGGGGUUCAAAAUUAAACUUUGUUUGAUUUUAACAAAAAAUGAAUAAAUGGGGUUCUUUGAUAUGCUGGAUCCAACCAUGUAUUUAGAUUUUGGAUAUUGGACCAUAAUAGGUAAAUGUCAACAUUAUGAUUCCAAGUCGACCAGUGUUUUGUCUUACUCCUAAGUGUCGGUGGCCAAGUGGUCUAAGUAGUUCUAAUGUUAUCACUAGCCAGUCAACACUGAGGUGAGUUCGGACACCCCUCGUGUAGAUUCACUCGACUCCUAUCUAAUAAUUGACUAGAAUUGUCAUUUUUAAUAUCGAAGGUCGGUGGUUUUCUCCGGGCACUUCGGCUUUCUCCAACCAUAAAAACUGACCGCCAUGAAAUAGCCAAAUAGUUCGCUUCAAAGUGGCGUUAAAACACCAACAAUCAACCAAUCAAUCCUAAGUGCCGUGUGCUAUACUUAGAAUUAACAAUUACUACUUUUCAUGUUAGGUUUGACCCUACCGAAAAUCAAAUCCAUAAUCUCGGGUAAUUAAGGUGAACAUCUACUACGAGAUCACCAAGAAGGUUUUUCGCAAUAAAGAGAUGUGGUAUAAUUGCCAAUGAGAUAAAUACAUGUAUCCACCAAAGUUCAAAUAUGCAAUUAUAGGCAACUGCAUUGACUUCAGCAAUGAGAAAACCGAUACCGCAUAGUCGGUUAUAAAAGACCCCUUCAUUACGCUGGGGAAUGCACGAAAAGAAAAUAGUCUGUAAUGUUGUUUUUGUCAAUAAAAUAUGGUA